UACAGGGUAGUACAAUUUAUUGAUUGACAUAAACUUCUACAGUAAUUCAUCUGUUUUCCUGCCUGAAUUUUUUCAAGCUGCAGCACAGUGAUUAUUUAAUUGAGUUAAUUAAUUUAUUUUAGAGACAUGGUCUGACUCUUGCUCAGGCUGUUCUCAAACUCCUGGGCUCAACAAAUCCUCCAGCCUUUCAAGUAGCUGAAACUACAGAUGUGCGCCACCACAUCCAGCUUAUUUCUGGUCGGGCAAUGCUGGAAAGAUCCAUGAAUCUUACAUUACUAAUCUACCUGUUUGUUGUUCCAGUAUGUUAAAUCUAUAUUUCAAUAACUGUUGACUUUUGCCAGCCUUAUGUCUACUCUACCAUCAGUAGCAAGACAAUUGUGUAGAUCAGGGUUGUCCAUAGUAGUUAAAAGGUAAGAAUCGCUUGGCAUAUGUAUUAAUAUAGUAAUUCUAAGGUCUGUCUGCCAGAAAUUCUGAUUCUAAAAAUUGGUAUGGAUACCCAGAAUCUGUACAGUAGAUGACAUUUUAAGUUAGAAAUAUUUAAGCAACACUUAUAAAAAUGAUCAGGAAGAAGAAAAGAAUAACAGAAGAUACCAUUUAAAAAAUGCAUACAUCUUUUGGCCAAAUUCCAGAAAUUUAGACUAAAAUGUUUUGAAUAAAAAAGUGUUAAAAUAAUUUUAUUAAAUUUUAUGCUUCUUGAACUUCAAAUUGAAAGCAGAAGAAUAUUUUGGAAACAUUAUUUUAUUAUUUUCAUGAUCUCUAAAUGGAAAUCUGAAACAAAUUGAUUGGAAAGGUUGAAAUCAUUGAUUUUUCAAUAAGCUGCAUAAGCAAAAAUAAAAAUAAUAAAACAAAGAGUAAUCCCAAUUACAGACCAAAACAUCAUUUUUCUUUUGGGUAGAGCCUGAGAUAGGGCAUGUUAACCAAAGGGCAUGGAAUUGGGAACUAAAUGUGGGCAGCCACCCCAUGAAGAGCCACCUCUGCAGGCAUAACUCAACUUGUGCCUCCUCCAGGAGAAAUUAGGUGGAUUUUGAUAUAUUUUUAGAGCUGUUCUUCUCUAAUGCAGCUAUCAGGUCAAUCACUGCAUCCCCUUAGAGACAGACUGAGGAAAAGUUCAGGAAGGCCAUGAAUGUGUUAAGGGGCAAUCCCUCCUGGGAAAUAACAGAAAUGGGGAGAAAAUAAAGUGUUUCUUUAACAUGGAAGUUAGUCAGUAACCUUGUUUGCUUACCAAAGAAUUAGCUGUUUGUUUUAGGUGUCAUUUCUCAGGAUUUCUUCAGCUCCUACACUUCUCUAAUUCUGAAACACUAAUCUUACUCAUUGAAUCCAUGGAAGACAAAUCCUAAGCUCCCAUGGGGAAAGCCAAGAACUAACUUGAGUUUUGCUUCAGUACUCACAAAAGGACCAUGAACUCAUGCCGCCAUUAAACCAUUAAGUCAUCUUAAAAUGUUGUAUUUCAAUUUUAAAUACCUGCAAUUCAAGGCCUCAGUGCUUUAACCUUUGUCUUCCUGCUUUAUGAUGUUGUAGUACUCCUUUUACAGAAA
RNAcentral lists this long non-coding RNA (1535 nucleotides) under Homo sapiens (human). RNAcentral describes it as "HSALNT0031923". Lineage: Eukaryota; Metazoa; Chordata; Mammalia; Primates; Hominidae. The record is from RNAcentral.